Long non-coding RNA from Magnolia sinica, 512 nucleotides. RefSeq lists it as uncharacterized. The transcript is spliced from 2 exons. NCBI's taxonomy places the organism in Eukaryota, Viridiplantae, Streptophyta, Magnoliopsida, Magnoliales, Magnoliaceae. The record is from RefSeq and is a predicted model, not a curated record.
UGCAAGGAAUGAUGCACUUAUUGUCGACGGACUGGUCAUGGUAUUUAGGACUGCCGUACACGUGCCUAUGCAUAUUCUUUCAGCCGUGGAUGUGGUGGUCGUGGUCGUGCUCUUUCUGCUAUUGCUGUCACUAUUUCUUCCGAGCCAUCUGUUAGUGAUUCUGCAUCUACUGUUUCUGCUGAAAGUGUUUCAUCUCCGUUGACUCCUGCGAUGCUCCAGCAAAUCGUUCAGGCCCUUUCUGCGGCCGGUAUGUCAAGAUCUGGCAACGGAGAAGGUACUUGAGACGGGUAGGCGGCAUGGUCGUCUGUACGUGCUGGACUUUGAUCCAUCUGACACUCCGGCUCGUUGUUUCUUUUCUCCAUCUUCAUCAGAUAUUUGUUCGGCAAAUAAAUUGUGGAAACUGUGGCACUUUCGCCUGGGUCAUCCACAUUCCGAUCGGUUACUUCAGUUAAUUUCGUCUGGCAUGUUAGGGAAUAUUUCUCUUAAUAAAAAUGAUUUGGAUUAUUCUUGUU